UAGCUCAGUGGUAGAGCACAUGCUUAGCAUGCAUGAGGUCCUGGGUUCAAUCCCCAA
RNAcentral lists this transfer RNA (57 nucleotides) under Camelus bactrianus (Bactrian camel). It matches the Rfam family "tRNA", at positions 8 to 63 of the family's 71-position model. From Rfam's summary of the family: Transfer RNA (tRNA) molecules are approximately 80 nucleotides in length. Their secondary structure includes four short double-helical elements and three loops (D, anti-codon, and T loops). Further hydrogen bonds mediate the characteristic L-shaped molecular structure. tRNAs have two regions of fundamental functional importance: the anti-codon, which is responsible for specific mRNA codon recognition, and the 3' end, to which the tRNAs corresponding amino acid is attached (by aminoacyl-tRNA synthetases). tRNAs cope with the degeneracy of the genetic code in two manners: having more than one tRNA (with a specific anti-codon) for a particular amino acid; and 'wobble' base-pairing, i.e. permitting non-standard base-pairing at the 3rd anti-codon position. RNAcentral also lists the same sequence under 2 other names. Lineage: Eukaryota; Metazoa; Chordata; Mammalia; Artiodactyla; Camelidae. The record is from Rfam by way of RNAcentral.